Molecule: ribosomal RNA, 1292 nt
Filed under: metagenome
Description: bacterial SSU rRNA
Rfam family: Bacterial small subunit ribosomal RNA
Source: RNAcentral
GGUGCGUAACGCGUAUGCAACCUACCUUCUACUGGGGGAUAGCUUUCGGAAACGGAAAUUAACACCCCAUAAUAAUAGUUGAAUCUCCUGAUUUGAUUAUUAAAACUCCGGUGGUAGAAGAUGGGCAUGCGUGACAUUAGCUAGUUGGUAGGGUAACGGCCUACCAAGGCUACGAUGUCUAGGGGUUCUGAGAGGAAGGUCCCCCACACUGGUACUGAGACACGGACCAGACUCCUACGGGAGGCAGCAGUGAGGAAUAUUGGUCAAUGGACGCAAGUCUGAACCAGCCAUGUCGCGUGCAGGAUGACUGCCCUAUGGGUUGUAAACUGCUUUUUUAUGGGAAGAAAAAGGGGUACGUGUACCUCUCUGCCGGUACCAUAAGAAUAAGGAUCGGCUAACUCCGUGCCAGCAGCCGCGGUAAUACGGAGGAUCCAAGCGUUAUCCGGAUUUAUUGGGUUUAAAGGGUGCGUAGGCGGUUUAAUAAGUCAGUGGUGAAAUCUUGCAGCUUAACUGUAAAAUUGCCAUUGAUACUGUUAGACUUGAGUAUAGUUGAGGUGGGCGGAAUGUGUUGUGUAGCGGUGAAAUGCAUAGAUAUAACACAGAACACCAAUUGCGAAGGCAGCUCACUAAGCUAUAACUGACGCUGAGGCACGAAAGCGUGGGUAGCGAACAGGAUUAGAUACCCUGGUAGUCCACGCCGUAAACGAUGAUUACUCGUUGCAGGCGAUAUAGAGUCUGUGACUGAGCGAAAGCAUUAAGUAAUCCACCUGGGGAGUACGUUGGCAACGAUGAAACUCAAAGGAAUUGACGGGGGCCCGCACAAGCGGAGGAACAUGUGGUUUAAUUCGAUGAUACGCGAAGAACCUUACCUAGCCUUGACAUGCAUCUCUAAGUCGGUGAAAGCCGGCGACUAUAGCAAUAUAGAAUUUGCACAGGUGCUGCAUGGCUGUCGUCAGCUCGUGUCGUGAGAUGUUGGGUUAAGUCCCGCAACGAGCGCAACCCCUGUGAACUGUUGCCACCGGCCUUCGGGUCGAGCACUCUGUUCAGACUGCCCUGUGAAACGGGGAGGAAGGUGGGGAUGACGUCAAGUCAGCAUGGCCCUUACGGCUAGGGCUGCACACGUACUACAAUGCUCAGCACAGAAUGAACCGAUACCGCGAGGUGGAGGAAAUCUCAAAAACUGAGCCCAAUUCGGAUUGAAGGCUGCAACUCGCCUUCAUGAAGCCGGAAUCGCUAGUAAUGGCGCAUCAGCUACGGCGCCGUGAAUACGUUCCCGGGCCUUGUACACACCG